UUCUUUUGUGUAUUUGCCAGCAUCUGCAGUUCCCUGCAUUUAUAAACUCAAAAUCUGUUCCCUUUCAUCCCCAAGCAUUGGAUUCUUUAUAGAAAACAUUGUUAUUCCCUUUCAACAUGGCCAAAAUAGCCUAAGUGUGUAAGUG
Long non-coding RNA from Amblyraja radiata (thorny skate), 145 nucleotides. RefSeq lists it as uncharacterized. The transcript is spliced from 3 exons. The record is from RefSeq and is a predicted model, not a curated record. NCBI's taxonomy places the organism in Eukaryota, Metazoa, Chordata, Chondrichthyes, Rajiformes, Rajidae.